RNAcentral lists this ribosomal RNA (253 nucleotides) under uncultured bacterium. RNAcentral's name for it is "partial 16S ribosomal RNA". It matches the Rfam family "Bacterial small subunit ribosomal RNA", at positions 524 to 776 of the family's 1533-position model. The record is from RNAcentral.
UACGGAGGGUGCAAGCGUUAUCCGGAUUCACUGGGUUUAAAGGGUGCGUAGGCGGUCGGGUAAGUCUGGCGUGAAAUCUCCAAGCCUAACUUGGAAACUGCGUUGGAUACUAUCCGGCUCGAGGAAUGGAGGGGAGACUGGAAUACUUGGUGUAGCAGUGAAAUGCGUAGAUAUCAAGUGGAACACCAGUGGCGAAGGCGAGUCUCUGGACAUUUCCUGACGCUGAGGCACGAAAGCCAGGGGAGCAAACGGG